AAAACUAAAAAGUAAAAACAAGGAAAGCAGAAUUCCCGGAACACGAAAGAAAAGCAAGGAAAAGAUGGAGACGGACACCACAGCUUCCGAAACAAUGGAUUACCAGUACACCAACCCGGCAUCCAAAAACGAUACAGUUUCGGUUCCCUCUUCUUCCGAUAUUCCCUUCACUUCCCCCACUCCUACUACUACUACAAUGGAUUACCAGUACUUGGUAAUGAAUUGAAUAGGGAGUUAGGUUUGUCAAAUGGGGAAACAAGGCACAGGAUGGUGGGUGUAGUAGCGGAGGCGCAGAGACCUUUGUUUCCGUCGCAGUGGGACAGCGUACAGAAGGCAGCAGCGGCAAUGGACGCUGUUGUGAAGGUGUUUUGUCGCUGCCGUGGCAGAGGAAGCGACAGUACAGCUCCAAUAGCAGCGGGUUCAUUAUGGCGGGGAGACGGGUCUUGAGUCUUGACUGAUGCCCAUUCUGAGAGCAUCACAUCGCGGUAAAACUCAUGAAGCAAGGGUCUGAUACCAAGUACCUGGCCGCGUUCUUAGCUACUGGGUCGGAGUGUGAUAUUGGUAUGGAAAAUUUAAACUUUGGACGUAAUCUCCACAACUUUUUGUUUUUUGAGUAAGCAAAUUGUGCUGAUUCUUAUUUGUAGAUUGAACUCAUCAUUUGAAUGAGAUUGCAACACAGAAUGAUACUUACUUAAGGGUAAGUAAUUGAAGCAGUCUUCCGCUCUUCAGGAGUUUGUUUUGGGUCAUAGCAAGGGCAUGUGAGUUUGUUGAGUUGCACGCGGGAUUUGAGUUCCAUGUUGGUUUUCUUUGUAGAAACUAGUUUCUUGCCUUCAAUCACAUAAAAAUGGGAAGAGGGCUCAAUCUGAUGUAGAUUAUUGCUGCUUCCUUAAUUGAGUGACAGAGAUAGAGCCACUUAAGAAUUACAAUUCUUUUGUUUGUGUGUGUGGUCAUCCCAUUUAGCAUGCACAGGACCAAACAACUAUUAUGGAUUUCCUGUUAAUUGUACAGUAACGCAGUAUAGGAAAAGCUAUAUAAGCUAAUUAUAUUGAAUUCAUUAGGCUGCUUGCAUGUGUGGUAGGUUUGACUUCCAUUGAAGCCCUGGUUUACCUUUCAUAUCUGGUGCGGCUGUAUCAAUCGAGGGUUUUAUCUUACUGGGAUUACUGGAUGGCAUGUGGUAUGGUUGAUUUAGAAAAAAAUAUUUAGUUAUUCAGUGAGUUGUUAUUGGUUGAUUUAACUUUGUGUGUCUUUCGAUGCUGAGAAGAAUGUUUGAUGAGUUAUGGUUUGCUUUUAGUUCAUUUACACAAUAGGGUAUAAUUACUUGAUUCCUAGCAGAACAUUGAUUUAACAAAUCAAUCUAUUGGAAGCUGGUUUGACGCAAAUGAACUGUGCAAAUACAUCAUGGAGAUUAAUUCUGUUGAGUUAUUGCUGAUGAAUAUUUGUUUACUGGAUUUUGUAAUGUUGUUACUGGUAUGCUGAAUUAUGUGGAAGCAUGAUCAGUAAUGGAAUGGGAAAGUAGUAUGGAUUCAUCCAUUAAUUGAAUAACGAAUGCUUUGGUCUAGCAUUGUUAACAGUUAACGAUGACGAUUUUCUGGGAGGGAGUUUCAUCUGUUGAUUUUCGAGAUUGGCCUGCACUCUGCACUCCAAUAUGCUGUAACUGUUGUUGGCUAUCCAAUUGGGGGUGACACUAUCUCUGUCACAAGUGGUGUUGUAUCACUCAUGGAGAUACUUUCCUAUGUACAUUGGUGAACGGGGCUUUUGGGACUGGACGUUUGGGCUGGGCAAUCCGACGGUCCAACACGUGCACAACAAAUGAAGUCCAACACUAGAGCUACUCUCACAAAGACCCACACUUGGGGCAACAACAAAUGAGGAUUUUAAAUUGCGGAAGCUAAUUAGAUAGAUGCAACCAUAAAUUCUGGUGGGACUGCUUUCAAUGAUAAGGGCAAUUGUGUAGGUAUCGCAUUCCAGUCGCUGAAACAUGAAGACAUAGAGAGUAUUGGUUAUGAUUUCCAAUUCUUGGAGUUGAGUGGCAGAAGAUGGAUAAUCCUGAUUUACGCAUGUGGUGUCCAUGGAGAUGACUUCUGAACAGAAGAGUUUUCAUAUUAGAAGAGUUGAGCCAACCAUUCCAGAAUCUCAGGUUCUCAACCCAUCGGAUGUGAUCCUUAGCUUUGAUGGUGUAAAUAUUGCUAACGAUGGAACAGGUUAGCAUUCCCACACUCCCUCCCUCCAUCCUCCUCUUUCUGCCUCUCUCUCUCUUAUAACUGUUUCCCCCACUUUGUAUCUCCAAUGACUUAACGUUAACAUGUCUUAUUUGUCAUUAGCAUUACAUACUCAUUUUUGUUCAGAACUGCUGCUGAUACCUUGUAUCUCUUGUGACUUGUGAGUAAAGAUUUCUAGAUUGAGAGUAAAUAUGACCCUGUGAAUGUAUAGUGUCACCAUUACUUGUUUAAUAUGGAUGAAUUAUUGUUCUAACUCUGGUUGUGUUUCUGGCUUUCUUCACGAUUGAUUGUGUUCUCUCUUUUAACUCUGAUUACCUUCCCUGUCUCCUGUCCAACAGUUAGACAUGUAUUUACUUAUAAUCUUGUGCAUAUCAUCAAAGAACUUGUUAGCUAGAGUAGGCAAGCCUCCAUACAGGUCAAGAUAACCCCAUACCUACCGUGACGCCUCUGGCUCAAUCAGAUCACCCUGCUUGGCAUGACAAGUGGAUAAAUGGCUGGGCUGCUUUGAUAUCGCUUGUCACGGGUUGGUCAUUCUUCAUGUUUUCAGACAACCCUUGUGCUUAUUCCCACGGUUAAUUUAUAAACGACGCCAAGGCCAAGUUAUAAUCUAGCUUGAAGUUCGUUUACAGUGGGAGCUGGGGAAAGGGUUUUGAGAAGAGACUGGCUUACACCCCUACUCUUACCUGUCGAAGCAGGUGGUGAGAAACUUGACCACUUUUACUAAUAUGUACAUGCUUUACCUAUAUUGCUCUCUAAAGUAGACAUGGAUGUUACUAAUAGAUACAAGCUUUACACUUGUUCAUUCUUGUAGCUUUGCAACAGAGGGGCCUUAUGAGAAGAUGAUGUUUCUGGGCUGCCAAUUUCGAAAUCCUUGCCUAUUUCUUCUUGAGCUUUUCCCCACAUUACGGAUUUGCUUCUUCUCUCUGGUCUAUCAUACCUUCCAAGAUGGAGAGUAUCGCCAAGGAACAGGACACCCAUGGCAGCAGCAAUGGCAAUCGACAACGGCUUGAACAUUGCUACAAAGACAGGACCCUUAUGGUGCAGGGCCCAUGUAUGAACAACAUUGUUCAGGCAAG
Tripterygium wilfordii is the source of this 3295-nucleotide long non-coding RNA. RefSeq lists it as uncharacterized. The transcript is spliced from 4 exons. The record is from RefSeq and is a predicted model, not a curated record. NCBI's taxonomy places the organism in Eukaryota, Viridiplantae, Streptophyta, Magnoliopsida, Celastrales, Celastraceae.